CGAGUGGCGGACGGGUGAGUAAUGUCUGGGAAACUGCCCGAUGGAGGGGGAUAACUACUGGAAACGGUAGCUAAUACCGCAUAACGUCUGCGGACCAAAGCGGGGGGCCUCCGGGCCUCGCGCCAUCAGAUGAACCCAUAUGGGAUUAGCUAGUAGGUAAGGUAACGGCUUACCUAGGCGACGAUCCCUAGCUGGUCUGAGAGGAUGAUCGGCCACACUGGAACUGAGACACGGUCCAG
Molecule: ribosomal RNA, 239 nt
Filed under: uncultured bacterium
Lineage: Bacteria
Description: partial 16S ribosomal RNA
Rfam family: Bacterial small subunit ribosomal RNA
Source: RNAcentral